UGGGCUAAGACUACUUAACCGCGUCCUUGUUUUGCAGUUGUUUUGGACUAUAGAAACGACGAUUCCUUGCUGCCGCAGCGGGGGCUUGAGCCUGAGGUGGAGCUCAACUUGCAAGAGAAAGCGUUGCUGCUGAACCUGAAGGUCUCAUUGGAGGAGAUUGAACCGCCGCCGCAGCCAGAGCAAGAGCUUGAGUCGGAGUCGGAGUCGGAGCCAGAGGAAGACCUUGAGUCCGAGCCAGAGCAAGAGCUUGAGUCGGAGUCGGAGUCGGAGCCAGAGGAAGACCUUGAGUCCGAGCCGGAGCCAGAACCAGAGCCGGAGCUAACAUUCUGGGAGAAGACAUGGCAGGUUCUUCACAUACUUCGCUGCAAAGGGUUGGCUGACCUUGACCCCAAGAGGAAUGCCCUUGUCCCUACCCGCGUCCACAAGUUCAAC
Molecule: long non-coding RNA, 432 nt
Filed under: Hordeum vulgare
Lineage: Eukaryota; Viridiplantae; Streptophyta; Magnoliopsida; Poales; Poaceae
Description: long non-coding RNA (HVUL_LNC010933)
Source: RNAcentral